UAGAGUUUGAUCCUAGCUCAGGGUGAACGCUGGCGGCAUGGAUAAGGCAUGCAAGUCACGGGGACCGCAAGGUAACCGGCAGACGAGGUAGUAACACGUAGGAACGCACCCCGAAGUCUGGUAUAGCUCGCCGAAAGGCGGGGUAAUCCCAGAUAGUCCCGCAAGGGUAAAGGAGCAAUUCGCUUUGGGAGCGGCCUGCGUUGUAUCAGCUAGUUGGUGAGGUAAUGGCUCACCAAGGCUAUGACGCAUAGGGGACCUGAGAGGGUGACCCCCACCGAUGGAAUUGAGAUACGGUCCAUACUCCUACGGGAGGCUGCAGUCGAGAAUUUUCGGCAAUGGGCGAAAGCCUGACCGAGCGAUGCCGCGUGGUGGAUGAAGCGCUUCGGCGCGUAAACACCUUUUAUGAGGGAGAAAGCUGUUCGCAUCACACAGUGUGUGACGCGGAGAUACGAAUUAGGAGGUACGAGUUAGGAGAGCAAAUGCAUGUGCAUUCUUUUUCUUAUCUCUUAUUUCUUAUCUCUUAUAUCCGCAUCGCGCUCCGCGCGAUGCGAGCAGAUUGAUGUCACCUCAUGAAUAAGGGGCUCCUAACUCUGUGCCAGCAGGAGCGGUAAUACAGAGGCCCCAAGCGUUACCCGGAAUUACUGGGCGUAAAGAGUGCGUAGGUGGUCGUGUUAGUCGUUUGUUAAAUCUCCGGGCUCAACCUGGGAAUCGCGGGCGAAACGGCACGACUUGAGGGCGUGAGAGGUACAUGGAACUCAUGGUGUAGGGGUGAAAUCCGUUGAUAUCAUGGGGAACACCGAAAGCGAAGGCAAUGUACUGGCGCGUUCCUGACACUCAAGCACGAAAGCGUGGGUAGCGAACGGGAUUAGAUACCCCGGUAGUCCACGCCCUAAACUAUGUCCGCUGGCUUUUCGGAGUAUCGACCCUCUGAGAGGCGAAGCUAACGCGUUAAGCGGACCGCCUGGGUAGUACGAUCGCAAGAUUAAAACUCAAAGGAAUAGACGGGGGCUUGCACAAGCGGUGGAGC
Molecule: ribosomal RNA, 1027 nt
Filed under: Candidatus Kaiserbacteria bacterium GW2011_GWA2_49_19
Lineage: Bacteria; Candidatus Kaiseribacteriota
Description: bacterial SSU rRNA
Rfam family: Bacterial small subunit ribosomal RNA
Source: RNAcentral